Molecule: ribosomal RNA, 114 nt
Filed under: uncultured bacterium
Lineage: Bacteria
Description: partial 16S ribosomal RNA
Source: RNAcentral
UGUGAAGAAGGCCUUCGGGUUGUAAAGCACUUUUGUCCGGAAAGAAAACUUCUCCAGUUAAUACUGGGGGAGGAUGACGGUACCGGAAGAAUAACGCACCGGCUAACUACGUUC